AGUGAACGCUGGCGGUAGGCCUAACACAUGCAAGUCGAACGGCAGCACAGUAAGAGCUUGCUCUUACGGGUGGCGAGUGGCGGACGGGUGAGGAAUACAUCGGAAUCUACUUUUUCGUGGGGGAUAAUGUAGGGAAACUUACGCUAAUACCGCAUACGACCUACGGGUGAAAGCAGGGGAUCUUCGGACCUUGCGCGAUUGAAUGAGCCGAUGUCGGAUUAGCUAGUUGGCGGGGUAAAGGCCCACCAAGGCGACGAUCCGUAGCUGGUCUGAGAGGAUGAUCAGCCACACUGGAACUGAGACACGGUCCAGACUCCUACGAGAGGCAGCAGUCGGGAAUAUUGGACAAUGGGCGCAAGCCUGAUCCAGCCAUACCGCGUGGGUGAAGAAGGCCUUCGGGUGGUAAAGCCCUUUUGUUGGGAAAGAAAAGCAGCAGGUUAAUACCCCGCUGUUCUGACGGUACCCAAAGAAUAAGCACCGGCUAACUUCGUG
This 492-nucleotide ribosomal RNA is filed under the name uncultured bacterium. Its description in RNAcentral is "partial 16S ribosomal RNA". It matches the Rfam family "Bacterial small subunit ribosomal RNA", at positions 29 to 507 of the family's 1533-position model. The record is from RNAcentral.